CUCCUAUUCCCCAGCAAGCAGGAGGCAAGAUGAGAUUUAUGCCAGGAGAUGAGAAGAAUUUCCAUCCUGUUUGGGUUAUGCUGAGAUGCUUUUGGAAGACACGUAAGAGAAGAAAACAGAGCGGUAGGAAAGCACGAUUUCCUAUUUACUUCUUUUGGGAAUACACAUUUAUCAACCCUGCCCCGAGGAGGCCAGAUUUCCAGUCUGAGGCGAGCAGAGCCGGAGCUUUCACAAUGGAACGGAGGGAUGGCCUGGGAGGGGGUCCUUUCUAGCCAGCGAUUUCGGCUGCCUGCCGUUGCCAUGGCAACUGCAAGCACAAAUCAGAUUCACCUGCUGUCUCUGCUCCUUUUGUUCAGAGCAAACUAUUAAGCCGCCAACAGCAGGAUUAGCAAGACAGAGGCAUUUAGAUGAACGGAGAUGCCACCUUCUGUGAACAGAUCUUGUGUUCUGUAAUGAACCUGCACCUCCCCAGGGCCUAGUUAACAUCGUAGCAGAAGGGAGCUUGAGAAAAAUACUGGUCUAAAGACGUUUAUGAUCGCACCGGGCCAAAUUUUUCUGAGAAAGAGUUUAAGUCUUUAGUUCUCAAAUCCAGCGUUUCCUAAACUCUAGGAUGCCUCAGAAUCCCCUAAAUCUGCAAAAUGCAAAUGUCCAGGGCCCACCCCCCGAAAAGCUAAUUUAGUAGGUCUGAGUCCGGGCCCAGGACUCUGAAAUUUGAAUCUUAAGGGAUUUUCCGCACAAGGAGACGACUUGGAAUACAUUCAGGCCAUCUGGCUUUAGUCGGGUGGCAAAGUGGUUUUAGGAAGGUAGAAGACGAGGACCCCCUCCCUCCCCUGCAGCACCAGCCGCUUCAGAGAACAGGCAGGGCAAGCUGUUACUUCCAAGUUCAAGGCAAAGAGAUCAAGUUGUAAUCACGUUCUGCCUUUCCAUCAUGGUCAGUGUGGGCUUCCAAGCUUUAGGGAGGGAGAAGGUGUCCUUUGCAGUCCCUGUUCUCGCUGAUGCGAGGUCCCACACCUUGGAGAAGUCUUCACGUAGCAACCUCUUUCUUCAUCCUAGUCUUCUAGCCUUCAGGCUUUCGAUGCGUAAGAUAGUCUCUCCCCAUCCUUUUCUUUCAGUUUCUAGGUUGCCCUAGGUGCUUGUUUUCACCAUAUUCAGUUUGUUAAGCGGAUACAGAAUCCCGGCAAGCACCUGUCCCCAGGGAUGGCCGUGGAAAAGAGGCUGGCCUGUCCGGGAAACCUUUCCGCAGAGUCGGCAUUUAAGGUCGACAGGAAUCGCACACGGUGGUUCCAGCUGAAGUUCCGAACAUCCUAAGGAAAACUUCGCAGGAGGAAGGCCCCGUGGCCCAGCCGCGCAGCCAUGUUUCAGAGAAGCCUUCAGCGCGUGCGCGUGCG
This 1388-nucleotide long non-coding RNA is filed under the name Equus asinus (donkey). Its description in RNAcentral is "lncRNA (ENSEASG00005037260.1)". Lineage: Eukaryota; Metazoa; Chordata; Mammalia; Perissodactyla; Equidae. The record is from RNAcentral.